GCCGGCAUAGCUCAGAGGUAGAGCAGCGGUCUUGUAAACCGCAGGUCGUCGGUUCGAUUCCGACUGCCGGCUCCA
This 75-nucleotide transfer RNA is filed under the name Acidobacteriota bacterium. RNAcentral describes it as "Acidobacteria bacterium (freshwater sediment metagenome) tRNA-Thr". It matches the Rfam family "tRNA". From Rfam's summary of the family: Transfer RNA (tRNA) molecules are approximately 80 nucleotides in length. Their secondary structure includes four short double-helical elements and three loops (D, anti-codon, and T loops). Further hydrogen bonds mediate the characteristic L-shaped molecular structure. tRNAs have two regions of fundamental functional importance: the anti-codon, which is responsible for specific mRNA codon recognition, and the 3' end, to which the tRNAs corresponding amino acid is attached (by aminoacyl-tRNA synthetases). tRNAs cope with the degeneracy of the genetic code in two manners: having more than one tRNA (with a specific anti-codon) for a particular amino acid; and 'wobble' base-pairing, i.e. permitting non-standard base-pairing at the 3rd anti-codon position. The record is from RNAcentral. Lineage: Bacteria; Pseudomonadati; Acidobacteriota. RNAcentral also lists the same sequence under 3 other names.